GGCACUUGCAACUUUAUUGCGCCAGCAAGAACAUGCAUACAGCCCAGUCUAACGUACAGGAUCAAAAAGAGACCUUAUUUCGGCUGGCAAUUACCUUACCCGCUUGUUCAUUAUCUGACUCCUGCACUCCUCCCAAGUGUUCAAUGUUAACCAGAUGGCAAAGUUAACCAGACAGAGGAAAUCCACAUAAUUACUCUAGAUGAAGCCCCCUAACUGCGGAUUAGAAGGAAAAGAGAUGAAGGGUGCUGCACUAAUAAUAACAACCAUUUUCAACCAAGGCAGGAUUCUGGGCCUAGAAUCUUCAGUGACAAAUUACCAGGAGAGGAGGAGGGAAAUGAAGAGCUGGAGGCCUAGGGAGAUGGUGUGAGGAGAGGAGACUGUGCCUUUCCACUUCUUAAUAAUUAAUGUUCUCCUGCUGCUCUGAGUCUGCAUCACCAGUGAUUCAGUUUGAGUCAGACAUCCAACAACAACUGAGCAAAAGAAUCAUCUCAGAUCCAAGCAAUGGUGACGCGCAGAUAGAAGAGACUGAGGCCAACGACCAAAGCAAAGGACAGCAGAACUGACUGACACAGCUCAGAAAAUAUCCAAAGCUCUGGUCUUGCUCUGUCACCCACACUGGAGUGCAAUGCCACCAUCUUGGCUCACUGCAGCCUUGACCUCCUUGGGCUCAAGUGAUCCUCCUGCUUCAGCCUACCAUGUAGCUGGGACUACAGGUGUGCACCACCACACCAGCUAAUUUUUUUUUUUUUUGAGACAGAAUCUUGCUCUGUCACCCAGGCUACAGUGCGGUGGUGCGAUCUCGGCUCACUGCAAGCUCUGCCUCCCAGGUUCAAGCAAUUCUUCUGCCUCAGCCUCCCAAGUAGCUGGGACUACAGGAACCCACCACCAUGCCCAGCUAAUUUUUGUAUUUUUAGUAGAGACGGGGUUUCACCAUAUUGGCCAGGCUGGUCUUGAACUCCUGACCUCAUGAUCCGCCCGCCUCCGCCUCCCAAAGUGCUGGGAUUACAGGUGUAAGCCACCGUGCCCGAGCCCACACCAGCUAAUUUUUAACUGGGCUCAAGUGAUCCUCCCAUCUCAGCCUCACAAAGUGCUGGAAUUCCAGGCAUGAGCCACCGCACCCAGGAUGAAGCACAGAUUCUUGAACUGGUUUGUCACGGCAGUUGGUGCUGAUCACUCCAAUGAAUACAGCUUGCCUGUGCCAUGAUCUCAAUCUGGGGGCACCAGUUAA
RNAcentral lists this long non-coding RNA (1228 nucleotides) under Homo sapiens (human). RNAcentral's name for it is "PREDICTED lncRNA (TCONS_00163812)". The record is from RNAcentral. Lineage: Eukaryota; Metazoa; Chordata; Mammalia; Primates; Hominidae.